AUGAAGUUCUCAAGUGGCCUACUCUUCCUCCUGGUACUUCUCACCUUCAGCAUGGAGCAGCAACAAGCCAGAGAGAUCAAACGAUCAAUAAUUUUGGGAUCUCCGCAGAGAAGAACCACCCAAGAAAAGUCCACUGACAGUUGUUCAUGUCUUGCUGAAGUUCUUGCCUUAGAAAAUCUGAUAGAUAGUGGAAACUUCGGACAGGGUGGAAGAGGUGUUAAGGAGAGAAAUGAUUAAAAGAGUACAGUGGAGAGAAAAGAGAAGUGUGACUUCUCAGAAAACCUUUCCUUCUUAAUAAACCAUUCACAUUUCAAGAACUCA
Molecule: long non-coding RNA, 321 nt
Filed under: Monodelphis domestica (gray short-tailed opossum)
Lineage: Eukaryota; Metazoa; Chordata; Mammalia; Didelphimorphia; Didelphidae
Description: lncRNA (ENSMODG00000045766.1)
Source: RNAcentral